RNAcentral lists this non-coding RNA (133 nucleotides) under Dialister sp. CAG:588. Its description in RNAcentral is "FMN riboswitch aptamer (RFN element)". It matches the Rfam family "FMN riboswitch aptamer (RFN element)". Rfam says of the family: The RFN element is a highly conserved domain that is found frequently in the 5'-untranslated regions of prokaryotic mRNAs that encode for flavin mononucleotide (FMN) biosynthesis and transport proteins. The record is from Rfam by way of RNAcentral. RNAcentral also lists the same sequence under 1 other name. Lineage: Bacteria; Bacillati; Bacillota; Negativicutes; Veillonellales; Veillonellaceae.
AUUUCUCUUCAGGGCAAGGUGUAACUCCUUACCGGUGGUAAAGCCCACGAGCCAUGUGCUGAUUUGGUGAAACUCCAAAGCCGACAGUAAUAGAAUAUAUAUAUUCUUAAGUCUGGAUGAAAGAUAGAGGAAA